UUUUAGUCCCUCCAAUGCCGCCGCCACCAACUCCCUCAGCUCAACUCAGUUAACAAUCAGUCCAAACUCAAGUGCCGCCACCACCAAUUCCCUCAACUCCCUCAGGGAUUUUUGAAGCAGUCGAGCUGUUUUACUAUCCACUACGCCUCCUUUGCGAAUUUCACUGAAAUAGCUUGAAAGGCCCUAAUCAUGGUGGAACAGACAUUUUUGAAGCAGCCCAAAGUGUUUCUAAGUGUUUUGUUUCAGAAAAUUGAAAAAAAAAAAAUCAAAUUUCAUUUCCAAAAAAUCUGUGGAGGGGAGGAAACCCGAAAACCAUUUCUGGAAAAGCAUUGGAUUGAGUAUCAAGACCCCCAGGGAAGCCAUUGAAGGUUCUUGCUUCUCAGUUAUUCCAUUUCUGUUUCUAUGUUUGUGUAUAUAGCUAAACAUUGUGUGUUGGUUGUAUUUUGAGCAUGACUACGUGGUAGGCUAUAUUUAUGUC
Ziziphus jujuba (common jujube) is the source of this 478-nucleotide long non-coding RNA. RefSeq lists it as uncharacterized. The transcript is spliced from 3 exons. The record is from RefSeq and is a predicted model, not a curated record. Lineage: Eukaryota; Viridiplantae; Streptophyta; Magnoliopsida; Rosales; Rhamnaceae.